RNAcentral lists this long non-coding RNA (677 nucleotides) under Nicotiana tabacum (common tobacco). Its description in RNAcentral is "long non-coding RNA (NTAB_LNC019366)". Lineage: Eukaryota; Viridiplantae; Streptophyta; Magnoliopsida; Solanales; Solanaceae. The record is from RNAcentral.
AAUGAGAGACUUAGAGCUAUUCUGGGAGAAUGGAGCAGCCGAGCAGCUAAGGUAGUACUUCAUCGUUUGUGGUACAUUGCUAUAAUAUUGUUGUUUCCUUUUCCUCUUCGCUAAAGUAAUACACCAUAUGUUUUUCUUGGCUGGAUAAAAGCUUGAACGUGCUCUGGAGAUGGAAAAGAUGUCAAACUUGGAACUGCAGAAAAAACUAACCACACUGAAAACUCAAACGCGUGAAUAGUGCUCGCAAGUGGUUACUUUUCUAACAGUUUUAGGAUCUUUUGCAACACUAUGAAGAGAAGGGUAUCUACAGAAGAUGACUAUGAUACCGUUCUUGGAUGACCUCAUGGUCCUAUCUACUGCACAUGUACAAACUAAGCCAUCUUAGCCAAUGCUCUCAACAAUAGUUUGCUUUUGCUGUACAUUACUGCUAUAGCCAAAACUUUGAAGGCUGCUUUUGCAAUGUCAAUGUGGCCAACAUGGGGUGACAUUGGAAGGAGGAAAUGAUCUCCUAUGCCUGUUUACAAUUUGAACAGAGGAAAGUGACUCGACCAAGUUCUCGUGUUUUAUGUACGGAUCUUCUAUAUUAUUUUUUACUUAUAUCCUAUGCAAAAGGUCAUAUCAAUUAAAAUAGCAUUUGUAAGAAUUCGACUGAUGUGGAUAGUGUGAAGGCAUGGCAG